Molecule: ribosomal RNA, 253 nt
Filed under: uncultured bacterium
Lineage: Bacteria
Description: partial 16S ribosomal RNA
Rfam family: Bacterial small subunit ribosomal RNA
Source: RNAcentral
UACAGAGGGGGCAAGCGUUAUUCGGAAUUAUUGGGCGUAAAGGGCGCGUAGGCGGCCUGGCAAGUGGAAGGUGAAAUCCCUCGGCUUAACCGAGGAACUGCCCUCCAAACUGCUUGGCUUGAGUCCGGGAGAGGUGAGUGGAAUUCCCAGUGUAGCGGUGAAAUGCGUAGAUAUCAUGAGGAACACCGGUGGCGAAGGCGGUUACCUGGAAGAUUCCUGACUCUGAAACACGAAAGCCAGGGGAGCAAACGGG